Molecule: ribosomal RNA, 561 nt
Filed under: uncultured fungus
Lineage: Eukaryota; Fungi
Description: bacterial SSU rRNA
Rfam family: Eukaryotic small subunit ribosomal RNA
Source: RNAcentral
CUGGUUGAUCCUGCCAGUAGUUAUAUGCUUGUCUCAAAGAUUAAGCCAUGCAUGUCUAAGUAUAAACAGAUUGUACAGUGAAACUGCGAAUGGCUCAUUAAAUCAGUCAUAAUUUACUUGAUAGUCUACUACAUGGAUACCUGUGGUAAUUCUAGAGCUAAUACAUGCACUAUGACCCGACUCUCAGUGGAAGGGUAGUAUUUAUUAGAUAAAAAACCAACCUGGGAAACCAGUUCUAUGGUGAUUCAUAAUAACUGAACGAAUCGCAUGGUCUCUGAGCCGGCGAUAUUUCAUUCAAAUCUCUGCCCUAUCAACUUUCGAUGGUAGGAUAGGGGCCUACCAUGGUGUUUACGGGUAACGGGGAAUUAGGGUUCGAUUCCGGAGAGGGAGCCUGAGAAAUGGCUACCACAUCCAAGGAAGGCAGCAGGCGCGCAAAUUACCCAAUCCUGACUCAGGGAGGUAGUGACAAUAAAUAACGAUGCAGGACUCUUAAGGGUCUUGCAAUUGGAAUGAGUACAAUUUAAACCACUUAACAAGGAACCAUUGGAGGGCAAGUCUGGU